RNAcentral lists this ribosomal RNA (497 nucleotides) under uncultured bacterium. RNAcentral's name for it is "partial 16S ribosomal RNA". It matches the Rfam family "Bacterial small subunit ribosomal RNA", at positions 28 to 507 of the family's 1533-position model. The record is from RNAcentral.
GAUGAACGCUGGCGGCGUGCCUAAUACAUGCAAGUAGAACGCUGAAGCUUGGUGCUUGCACCGAGCGGAUGAGUUGCGAACGGGUGAGUAACGCGUAGGUAACCUGCCUCUUAGCGGGGGAUAACUAUUGGAAACGAUAGCUAAUACCGCAUAAAAGUCGAUAUCGCAUGAUAUUGAUUUGAAAGGUGCAAAUGCAUCACUAAGAGAUGGACCUGCGUUGUAUUAGCUAGUUGGUGAGGUAACGGCUCACCAAGGCGACGAUACAUAGCCGACCUGAGAGGGUGAUCGGCCGCCCUGGGACUGAGACACGGCCCAGACUCCUACGGGAGGCAGCAGUAGGGAAUCUUCGGCAAUGGGGGCAACCCUGACCGAGCAACGCCGCGUGAGUGAAGAAGGUUUUCGGAUCGUAAAGCUCUGUUGUAAGAGAAGAACGAGUGUGAGAGUGGAAAGUUCACACUGUGACGGUAACUUACCAGAAAGGGACGGCUAACUACGUG